UCCCUGGUGGCUCAGAGGAUAAAGCGUCUGCCUGCAAUGCAGGAAAACCGGGUUAAAUCCCUGGGUUGGGAA
Molecule: transfer RNA, 72 nt
Filed under: Ovis aries (sheep)
Lineage: Eukaryota; Metazoa; Chordata; Mammalia; Artiodactyla; Bovidae
Rfam family: tRNA
About the family: Transfer RNA (tRNA) molecules are approximately 80 nucleotides in length. Their secondary structure includes four short double-helical elements and three loops (D, anti-codon, and T loops).
Source: Rfam by way of RNAcentral